GGGGAUUAGGCGGUGCUCAGCUUCUGUGGUCUCCCUUAGAAGUCACUUGAAUUUAUUUAAUUCCUCAUUAUUUAGCUCCUCCAAAUGCAAUAGCAGCCCAAAAUCGGUAAAGGAGGAAAAUAUUGGUGAAUCUACCAUCUUGUCCUUGGAUCAGGGUUCAGGCUCUUGGGUGUCAGUGGUGCAGGUCAAACUCCACCACCAAAAGCCAUGCAUCCUAGAGGGAACAGGAAAAUUUGAAAGGGCUCCACAGCCCAGGCUUCUUCCCCAUGAACAUCUCGGAAGGACUGUGAUGUCGGUACAUCAAGGACGCACGCGCCAGCCGCUCCUCCCUUUCUGGGUCCUGACAGCUGAGCCACAACAGCUGUGCAGACCAGCGGCUCCCCCGGACUCACUCCAC
RNAcentral lists this long non-coding RNA (397 nucleotides) under Heterocephalus glaber (naked mole-rat). RNAcentral describes it as "lncRNA (ENSHGLG00000045018.1)". The record is from RNAcentral. Lineage: Eukaryota; Metazoa; Chordata; Mammalia; Rodentia; Bathyergidae.